CCUACGGGCGGCUGCAGUGGGGAAUCUUGCACAAUGGGGGAAACCCUGAUGCAGCAACGCCGCGUGAAGGAAGAAGGCCCUUGGGUCGUAAACUUCUGUUCUAAGGGAAGAUAAUGACGGUACCUUAGGAGCAAGUCCCGGCUAACUACGUGCCAGCAGCCGCGGUAAUACGUAGGGGGCGAGCGUUAUCCGGAAUUAUUGGGCGUAAAGAGUACGUAGGUGGUUUCUUAAGCAUGGGGUUUAAGGCAAAGGCUUAACCAUUGUUCGCCCCAUGAACUGGGUAACUUGAGUACUGGAGGGGAAAGCGGAAUUCCUAGUGUAGCGGUGAAAUGCGUAGAUAUUAGGAGGAACACCAGUGGCGAAGGCGGCUUUCUGGACAGUAACUGACACUGAGGUACGAAAGUGUGGGGAGCAAACAGGAUUAGAUACCCCAGUAGUC
Molecule: ribosomal RNA, 439 nt
Filed under: uncultured Eubacteriales bacterium
Lineage: Bacteria; Bacillati; Bacillota; Clostridia; Eubacteriales
Description: bacterial SSU rRNA
Rfam family: Bacterial small subunit ribosomal RNA
Source: RNAcentral